GGCGGCAUGGCCGAGCGGUAAGGCAGGGGUCUGCAAAACCUCUCUAUUUAUCCCCGGUUCGAGUCCGGGUGCCGCCU
This 77-nucleotide transfer RNA is filed under the name Fervidicola ferrireducens. It matches the Rfam family "tRNA". Rfam says of the family: Transfer RNA (tRNA) molecules are approximately 80 nucleotides in length. Lineage: Bacteria; Bacillati; Bacillota; Clostridia; Thermosediminibacterales; Thermosediminibacteraceae. The record is from Rfam by way of RNAcentral.